Molecule: unclassified non-coding RNA, 1298 nt
Filed under: Bombus terrestris (buff-tailed bumblebee)
Lineage: Eukaryota; Metazoa; Arthropoda; Insecta; Hymenoptera; Apidae
Description: misc RNA ENSBTSG00005020310.1
Source: RNAcentral
CCGUCGCCGUUAAGGCUUUCGGGUGCCUUCCGUGGAUGCUGUCGCCCAUCUUGAUCAGGGCGUUCGUUUCCGUUAUCCUCAGCGUAGUUAAAACAUAUUGGAUAUUCACUGGGAGGUAUUUCUUCCAGGUCGCCAGCACGAAAUCAACUGAGACGGCGUUCUAUCGCCCAUUUAUUCAUCCCCGAACUUCCUGCGCAGUCUUGAACCGUCUGAGCCUACAAUUUGUAUUAAAUCGUCUGUUGGUACUCGUCAUUGCGAAUGUAACACAUUCACUUUUAGAUCACUUGUUAUCACGUUAGAGUCACUAAUUUGUGGAGGACGAUUAAACGUGUUGGUGUAUAUAGUAAUGAGGCAAGUUGAUACUUCGUGUAGCCAAAUGUAUUUAAAACUAUUUGCAGUACAGAGUUAGUCGUCGUUCGCCAGUGUUGCUCGAUAUGCGUAUGUAAGGAAAUGCGUAUGUUCGCUCGAUAUUAAUCGAAUAUAAGAUUGCUCGAUACUAAUUGAUUGCCUUAACGAUCGUGUUCGUUUAUUUAUACUGGCCGGAGGAGUACCGAAAAGUUUAAAUUCGACUUUGAUUGACAGUUGCACAUCGCGGCGACAGUGUUUUGCCUGUUUGUGUAUUGUUACGUUUUGUAUGUUAAGACGGUGUCAAUGUCCCGAAGCAAAACAACGUCAUGAGUUGCUUUCGAUUCGCAUCGUCCUCUGACUCAUAUGCCGCUACAUAUAUUACGUUAUAUUAUAUCACGUUAUACUGUAUUACAUUAUAAUGUAUUACGUUAUAAUAGUAUUGCUUUAUAGUGUAUUAUAUUAUAAUGUACUACGUUAUAAUAUAUUGCGUUAUAUACUAUUACAUUAUAAUGUAUAACGUUAUAUUACUUUAUAAUAUAUUACGUUCUAAUGUAUUGCGUUAUAUUGUGUUACGUUUUGCGCUUUCUUCAAAUACUGGACAGAAGGCGUACGUACCAUGAUCGCGGACGGAUACGAAUACAUGCAUAGUGGGGAUAUCGAAAGGUGACAAAGGGAAGCAAGUGGAUCAACACAGCAGUUGUUCGUAACCAGUCAUUAGUAAGAGUCGCGAGUCGAGAGUUCUGAAAAAGUCGCUAUUCAAGAAAGUAAACAAACUGUUGAACGAACCGCCGCGUAUUCAGUUGACAGCUUUCACGUUCUACACCUCAGUUAUAUUGUAUUGCAUUAUAUUACAUUACGUUAUAUUGUAUUACGUUAUAUUAUAUUAUAUUACGUUUUAUAGUAUUAUGUUAUAAUGUAUUACGUUAAAAAAUAUCACGUUUUAUAGUAUG